Molecule: microRNA, 20 nt
Filed under: Mus musculus (house mouse)
Lineage: Eukaryota; Metazoa; Chordata; Mammalia; Rodentia; Muridae
Description: microRNA miR-L-26
Source: RNAcentral
UUAGUAUGGUUGCCUUCCAA